GAUGAACGCUGGCGGCGUGCCUAAUACAUGCAAGUCGAGCGAACGGACGAGAAGCUUGCUUCUCUGAUGUUAGCGGCGGACGGGUGAGUAACACGUGGAUAACCUACCUAUAAGACUGGGAUAACUUCGGGAAACCGGAGCUAAUACCGGAUAAUAUUUUGAACCGCAUGGUUCAAAAGUGAAAGAUGGUCUUGCUGUCACUUAUAGAUGGAUCCGCGCUGCAUUAGCUAGUUGGUAAGGUAACGGCUUACCAAGGCAACGAUGCAUAGCCGACCUGAGAGGGUGAUCGGCCACACUGGAACUGAGACACGGUCCAGACUCCUACGGGAGGCAGCAGUAGGGAAUCUUCCGCAAUGGGCGAAAGCCUGACGGAGCAACGCCGCGUGAGUGAUGAAGGUCUUCGGAUCGUAAAACUCUGUUAUUAGGGAAGAACAUAUGUGUAAGUAACUGUGCACAUCUUGACGGUACCUAAUCAGAAAGCCACGGCUAACUACGUG
RNAcentral lists this ribosomal RNA (497 nucleotides) under uncultured bacterium. RNAcentral describes it as "partial 16S ribosomal RNA". It matches the Rfam family "Bacterial small subunit ribosomal RNA", at positions 28 to 507 of the family's 1533-position model. The record is from RNAcentral.